RNAcentral lists this transfer RNA (76 nucleotides) under Deltaproteobacteria bacterium CG_4_10_14_0_2_um_filter_43_8. RNAcentral describes it as "tRNA-Val". It matches the Rfam family "tRNA". From Rfam's summary of the family: Transfer RNA (tRNA) molecules are approximately 80 nucleotides in length. Their secondary structure includes four short double-helical elements and three loops (D, anti-codon, and T loops). RNAcentral also lists the same sequence under 2 other names. Lineage: Bacteria; Deltaproteobacteria. The record is from RNAcentral.
GGGCGUUUAGCUCAGCUGGGAGAGCGCUACCCUUACAAGGUAGAUGUCGCAGGUUCGAUCCCUGCAACGCCCACAA